RNAcentral lists this ribosomal RNA (866 nucleotides) under uncultured bacterium. Its description in RNAcentral is "bacterial SSU rRNA". It matches the Rfam family "Bacterial small subunit ribosomal RNA", at positions 57 to 918 of the family's 1533-position model. The record is from RNAcentral.
GCAAGUCGAGCGGCAGCGGGUCCUUCGGGAUGCCGGCGAGCGGCGGACGGGUGAGUAAUGCCUAGGAAUCUGCCUGGUAGUGGGGGAUAACUCGGGGAAACUCGAGCUAAUACCGCAUACGUCCUACGGGAGAAAGCAGGGGAUCUUCGGGCCUUGCGCUAUCGGAUGAGCCUAUGUCGGAUUAGCUGGUUGGUGAGGUAAUGGCUCACCAAGGCGACGAUCCGUAGCUGGUCUGAGAGGAUGAUCAGCCACAUCGGGACUGAGACACGGCCCGAACUCCUACGGGAGGCAGCAGUGGGGAAUAUUGGACAAUGGGCGCAAGCCUGAUCCAGCCAUGCCGCGUGUGUGAAGAAGGCCCUCGGGUUGUAAAGCACUUUCAGUGGGGAAGAAAUCCUCGGGGCUAAUACCCUCGAGGGAGGACAUCACCCACAGAAGAAGCACCGGCUAACUCCGUGCCAGCAGCCGCGGUAAUACGGAGGGUGCGAGCGUUAAUCGGAAUUACUGGGCGUAAAGCGCGCGUAGGCGGCCUGAUAAGCCGGUUGUGAAAGCCCCGGGCUCAACCUGGGAACGGCAUCCGGAACUGUCAGGCUAGAGUGCAGGAGAGGAAGGUAGAAUUCCCGGUGUAGCGGUGAAAUGCGUAGAGAUCGGGAGGAAUACCAGUGGCGAAGGCGGCCUUCUGGACUGACACUGACGCUGAGGUGCGAAAGCGUGGGUAGCAAACAGGAUUAGAUACCCUGGUAGUCCACGCCGUAAACGAUGUCGACUAGCCGUUGGGGUCCUUGAGACCUUUGUGGCGCAGUUAACGCGAUAAGUCGACCGCCUGGGGAGUACGGCCGCAAGGUUACAACUCAAAUGAAUUGACGGAA